GAAUUGACGGGGACCCGCACAAGCAGCGGAGCAUGUGGUUUAAUUCGAAGCAACGCGAAGAACCUUACCUAGUCUUGACAUCCCGAUGACCGGUCGGUAAUGCGACCUUUCCUUCGGGGCAUUGGUGACAGGUGGUGCAUGGUUGUCGUCAGCUCGUGUCGUGAGAUGUUGGGUUAAGUCCCGCAACGAGCGCAACCCCUAUCUUUAGUAGCCAGCAUUUUGGAUGGGCACUCUAGAGAGACUGCCAGGGAUAACCUGGAGGAAGGUGGGGAUGACGUCAAAUCAUCAUGCCCCUUAUGACUAGGGCUACACACGUGCUACAAUGGUAAUUACAAAGUGAAGCAACCUCGUGAGAGUGAGCAAAUCACAAAAAGGUUACCUCAGUUCGGAUUGUAGUCUGCGACUCGACUACAUGAAGCUGGAAUCGCUAGUAAUCGCGAAUCAGCAUGUCGCGGUGAAUACGUUCCCGGGUCUUGUACACACCG
This 485-nucleotide ribosomal RNA is filed under the name uncultured Anaerosporobacter sp. Its description in RNAcentral is "bacterial SSU rRNA". It matches the Rfam family "Bacterial small subunit ribosomal RNA", at positions 907 to 1392 of the family's 1533-position model. The record is from RNAcentral. Lineage: Bacteria; Bacillati; Bacillota; Clostridia; Lachnospirales; Lachnospiraceae.